Molecule: transfer RNA, 77 nt
Filed under: Tolypothrix sp. Co-bin9
Lineage: Bacteria; Bacillati; Cyanobacteriota; Cyanophyceae; Nostocales; Tolypothrichaceae
Description: tRNA-OTHER
Rfam family: tRNA
About the family: Transfer RNA (tRNA) molecules are approximately 80 nucleotides in length. Their secondary structure includes four short double-helical elements and three loops (D, anti-codon, and T loops).
Source: RNAcentral
GGGGUCAUAGCUCAAAUGGAUAGAGCGCCUGCCGAUGCUUGCAGUUCUUGUCAUGGGUUCAAGUCCCAUUGAUUCCA